Hydra vulgaris (swiftwater hydra) is the source of this 238-nucleotide long non-coding RNA. RefSeq lists it as uncharacterized. The record is from RefSeq and is a predicted model, not a curated record. NCBI's taxonomy places the organism in Eukaryota, Metazoa, Cnidaria, Hydrozoa, Anthoathecata, Hydridae.
GACUGUUGACAAUUUCAAGAUGUUUUUUUUUUUUGAUUAUAUAACUUUUUUGUUAUCUUUAGGCCAAUUUGCACAGACUACAGCUGUAUCUACCUCUUGUACUACACCUGUAUCUACCUCUUGUGCUACACCUGGGUGUUAUAACAUCAUAACCACAUCUACGGCCAACUCUAAGAUCACCUUAUUUUGUUUGGCAGUGUUCUGGAAUCAAGUUAUGGCAAUAUUUUAUGUAUAAAAU